RNAcentral lists this ribosomal RNA (347 nucleotides) under uncultured fungus. RNAcentral describes it as "SSU rRNA". It matches the Rfam family "Eukaryotic small subunit ribosomal RNA", at positions 20 to 370 of the family's 1831-position model. Lineage: Eukaryota; Fungi. The record is from RNAcentral.
GUAGUCAUAUGCUUGUCUCAAAGAUUAAGCCAUGCAUGUCUAAGCAUAAGCAAUUUGUACGGUGAAACUGCGAAUGGCUCAUUAAAUCAGUUAUCGUUUAUUUGAUAGUACCUUACUACAUGGAUACCUGUGGUAAUUCUAGAGCUAAUACAUGCUUAAAACCCCGACUUCGGAAGGGGUGUAUUUAUUAGAUAAAAAACCAAUGCCCUUCGGGGCUCCUUGGUGAUUCAUAAUAACUCAUCGAAUCGCAUGGCCUUGCGCCGGCGAUGGUUCAUUCAAAUUUCUGCCCUAUCAACUUUCGGUGGUAGGAUAGUGGCCUACCAUGGUGGCAACGGGUAACGGGGAAU